CCGACAUGGACAUCCAGGAGUCCUUCUCCUGGCUCUGUCCUGGUGGCGUAUGGGAGCGUAGCUCCGGCUCGGACGUCCAUUCCCGUUCCACGGUGUCGGACAGAAAGCUCCGUCCCCGGCUGCUCGCCGGCGAGGACGAGCGUCCUGUAUAUUCCUACACCUUCCCAGAGUCCUUUGGGCCGUUACUGGGGAGCUAAACCAUGCAGGACACAGAC
RNAcentral lists this small nucleolar RNA (215 nucleotides) under Cyprinodon variegatus (sheepshead minnow). RNAcentral's name for it is "Small nucleolar RNA SNORA73 family (ENSCVAG00000018665.1)". It matches the Rfam family "Small nucleolar RNA SNORA73 family". Rfam says of the family: U17 (SNORA73A and SNORA73B) also known as E1 belongs to the H/ACA class of small nucleolar RNAs (snoRNAs). Vertebrate U17 is intron-encoded and ranges in length from 200-230 nucleotides, longer than most snoRNAs. Lineage: Eukaryota; Metazoa; Chordata; Actinopteri; Cyprinodontiformes; Cyprinodontidae. The record is from Rfam by way of RNAcentral.